GAAACGAUGUCGUAUCGUAACGUGAUGUUGCGUUUUCUUGGUACUGGAUGAACCUUCAUGAUUUUAAGGUUAGAAGAAAAAGAAUUAAAAAAAAACAAUUUUACAAAAAUUGGGUCAAGAGAAUUAUUUUAUGAGAAAAAGAAAGGUUAAAGCAAUGGAGAAUUUGCAGAGAAUAGUUAUUUUGUGGGUAAAGUACAGUGGAA
RNAcentral lists this unclassified non-coding RNA (203 nucleotides) under Hevea brasiliensis (rubber tree). Lineage: Eukaryota; Viridiplantae; Streptophyta; Magnoliopsida; Malpighiales; Euphorbiaceae. The record is from RNAcentral.